UGGGGAAUAUUGCACAAUGGGCGAAAGUCUGACGGAGCGACGCCGCGUGGAUGAUGAAGGCCGAAAGGUUGUAAAGUCCUUUUGCUGGGGAAGAAUAAGCGUGGGAGGGAAUGCCCGCGUGAUGACAUGAACCGGCGAAUAAGCCCCGGCUAACUACGUGCCAGCAGCCGCGGUAACACGUAGGGGGCAAGCGUUGUUCGGAAUUACUGGGCGUAAAGGGCAUGUAGGCGGCCUUGUAAGCUUGGCGUGAAAGUCCACGGCUUAACCGUGGGAUUGCGUUGAGAACUGCGAGGCUUGAGUGACGGAGAGGGAGCUAGAAUCCCUGGUGUAGGGGUGGAAUCUGUAGAGAUCAGGAAGAAUACCAAUGGCGAAGGCAAGCUCCUGGCCGAUGACUGACGCCGAGGUGCGAAAGUGUGGGGAUCAAACA
Molecule: ribosomal RNA, 427 nt
Filed under: uncultured prokaryote
Description: bacterial SSU rRNA
Rfam family: Bacterial small subunit ribosomal RNA
Source: RNAcentral